UGCCAGCCGCCGCGGUAAUACGAAAGGUGCAAGCGUUGUUCGGAUUUACUGGGCGUAAAGAGAUCGUAGGUGGUUUAUUAAGUCGGAUGUGAAAUCCCGGGGCUCAACCCCGGAAGUGCAUUGGAAACUGGCGAACUUGAGUACGGGAGAGGAAAGUGGAAUUCCGAGUGUAGGGGUGAAAUCCGUAGAUAUUCGGAGGAACACCAGUGGCGAAGGCGGCUUUCUGGACCGAUACUGACGCUGAGACGCGAAAGCGUGGGGAGCAAACAGGAUUAGAUA
Molecule: ribosomal RNA, 279 nt
Filed under: uncultured bacterium
Lineage: Bacteria
Description: partial 16S ribosomal RNA
Rfam family: Bacterial small subunit ribosomal RNA
Source: RNAcentral